This 1129-nucleotide unclassified non-coding RNA is filed under the name Hevea brasiliensis (rubber tree). The record is from RNAcentral. Lineage: Eukaryota; Viridiplantae; Streptophyta; Magnoliopsida; Malpighiales; Euphorbiaceae.
GGAUGACAUCCGUCAGGAACUUUGCAUAACAAUCAAACAUUGAAGCUGAAGGAACAAUUUUUAAACCCUCCUCAUAAACCUGAAUAGCGCUGCUUAAUUGAUCAACUGUCAUUGCUUCAGUAGUCUCUGGAUUAUUAAGAUCAAUCACUUCCUGUCUUGCAAGCCAAUCCCAAUACUUUGGUUCUUUUGAGAAGUCCCGUUUCAUAUCAGCAAGUAUUUCAUUUCGCAUAUCUUCUGAAUGACCUAAAUCUGUUGCUUCUAGUAUGUCAAGAAACUUUGUUCUUAAACUGAAACUGGAAGGGAGGGCUUUAAUAGAACCACCAUAAACUGUCUGGAGAACACUUAAACCUUGUUUCCUAAACAAAUCUAAUUUUUCCUUAGAGUCUCCGUCGUGAAGGUUGGAUAAUUUGUCUUCCUCUCUUUUAUCAUCAAGGACAAUAAAUAAUUCCUUGUUCUCAUCUCUCCACUGUUCCUCUUUAGCACUAUUGCCAGAACGAGCUAGUGUUCCCUCAUCCUCUCCUAACACAACUUUGCGGGCCUUUAAUUUAUUUAGGUAAGUUAGCUCCAUUCGGAGAUAUUCUACCCAAAGAUCCUCAGAAGUUGGACAUGCUCUCAAGCCGCUAUGCAUUAGGGCACGAGCAGCAGCAGCAUUUAGGUUGUUAUCAAAUUCCCAAGCUGCAGCAUAUAUCCAUACUCCAGGCACCUUAGGAUGAAACCUGAUUACCUGCGCAAGGGCCUUCUUCAUUCGACCGUUCCUUCGCUCCCUACAGAACUCCAAAUACUGAAACCAAAGCUCUAUAUCUCCCUUAAACCUGGUGGUGGCGAGCCUAUAAAUCUCAAUAAUCCUGGAAACUCCAGCAUAAUCUGAAACAGACUUUUUCAGCUUUCUAUCGCCUGUUGUUUUCAUCUGAGCUUUUUUACGUAGAAGUCUUAGAGAAUCGAGACUUUUCUCAUAGUCAAUGUAUGCUACAAAAUCCUGUUUCAAUGGACUAGGUCUCUUCAGCCUGUACUCAAAUUUCCGGCGCUGUUUCACUAUUUCCGCUAUUUCCUGGCGGCUAAAAAGACAGCGUUUUUCAAGGUCGUCGAGCUCAGGGAGCAUACGCUCCAGCUUGUACUGUACAACAUCCGC